GUUAAAGACGAUGACGUUGAUAGGCCGGGUGUGUAAGCGCAGCGAUGCGUUGAGCUAACCGGUACUAAUGAACCGUGAGGCUUAACCUUAC
RNAcentral lists this ribosomal RNA (91 nucleotides) under Klebsiella pneumoniae subsp. pneumoniae KPNIH8. RNAcentral's name for it is "partial 23S ribosomal RNA". It matches the Rfam family "Bacterial large subunit ribosomal RNA", at positions 2837 to 2925 of the family's 2925-position model. Lineage: Bacteria; Pseudomonadati; Pseudomonadota; Gammaproteobacteria; Enterobacterales; Enterobacteriaceae. The record is from RNAcentral.